GUUUACUUUGAAAAAAUUAGAGUGUUCAAACAGGCUGUUCGCCUGCAUAGUGUUGCAUGGAAUAAUGGAAUAGGACCUCGGUUCUAUUUUGUUGGUUUUCGGAGCACGAGGUAAUGAUUAAGAGGGACNGACGGNGCCGUCCGUNCUCUGCCGUUAGAGGUGAAAUUCUUGGAUCGGCGGAAGACGAACUACUGCGAAAGCAUUCGCCNAGAAUGUUUUCUUUNAUCNAGACGAAAGUCAGAGGUUCGAAGACGAUCAGAUACCGUCCUAGUUCUGACUAUAAACGAUGCCAACUAGCGAUCGGGAGGCGUUACCAUGACGACCUUUCCGNCAGCUUCCGGGAAACCAAAGUCUUUG
This 357-nucleotide ribosomal RNA is filed under the name Styela clava. Its description in RNAcentral is "SSU rRNA". It matches the Rfam family "Eukaryotic small subunit ribosomal RNA", at positions 750 to 1109 of the family's 1831-position model. The record is from RNAcentral. Lineage: Eukaryota; Metazoa; Chordata; Ascidiacea; Stolidobranchia; Styelidae.